RNAcentral lists this long non-coding RNA (1879 nucleotides) under Equus asinus (donkey). RNAcentral's name for it is "lncRNA (ENSEASG00005029673.1)". Lineage: Eukaryota; Metazoa; Chordata; Mammalia; Perissodactyla; Equidae. The record is from RNAcentral.
GGGUCAGGAUGGGACGGCCUCCCAACGCUCCACCCCAGAGCCUUUCAGCAGCAAAACCAUCAGGCGCUGACGGUCCCAAGAUGAUGAAUUUCAGCCCCACAAAGGUCUUCAAGAGGCUGGGCCCUGUCUUGUUCUUACAUAUGUUAUCUCACUUUCAUAACAACCCUAGAGGUACUACGAAGAGGCCCAUUUUAUAGACAGGAGAACUGAGGCUUGGGGGGGUGCAUAACUUCCGGAAGGGCACAAAGCUAAAAAGUGGUAGGUGCGGAAUUUGAACCCAGGUCUUUGAGAUGCCCCAGUCCCUCCUCUCACAAGAAAGCACCUGAGCUUCCCACUUUCUGAUUGACGUGGCAGGGUUGGUUGGUUACAUCUGAAUCACCUGGGAGCUUUAAACUUCCUAUUGCUGGGCCCACCUGGGUGAUUCUGAUUAAGCCGUUUUAGAGCGUUUGGAGCCCCUGAAUCUCCUUGACUCCAUCCCACCCGGAAGAGCAGAUAUCCCGUAAGUGCCAAGUUUCUUCCGCUGUCUGCAGCUGACCAUGAUGUCUUCUAGCUGGCAGCCCACCCUCUCCCACAGACCCCCAGCCAAAUCCCCAAGAGGCAGGUCACUCCCGCGUCCACCUUCCUCCCCCGGGGAGCUCCAAUCUGCAAGAGCGCCGUUGUUUUGCUGGAGAAGUCUGCCAUACAUCAUCGUUUAUCAGCCAGCGCCCAAUUCCGGUCGGCCCUCCUGUGUGUCAGGAAGUGGGACUAUUUAUGGGGCUGCCACUCUGCAUAGCUGGAAGGGACUCAGGCUGCCUCUGCGGUGGCGUUGCUGCUGUCAGCUGGCCUGCUGGGGUGACGUGUCUGUUCGUUUGCAGGCCUGGUGCACCGUGGAGAUAAGACCCUCUCAGGAAGGGCCCACCUCUGCACAGCGGCUCAGCUCCCCUCGGACAGCUGAGGGCCACUGGCCCCCUUAGGAGCUUUUGGUUCCAUGUCCCUGACUUGGUCACAAUGUCAAGAAGGGGGUCAGUGAAAUAAUAGUAAUAAUAAUAAUAAUAACAAUAAUAAUAAUAAACAGCCAUUCAUUAUGUGCCAGACACUAUUCUACUAUUCUAAGCACUUGGCAUAGGUUCAAUCAUUUACUCCUCAAAACAAGGAGCUCCUUUGGUCCCCACUAUGCAGAUGAAGAAACUGAGGCAUGGAGAAGUUUGAUUGCUGGUUGGUGGCAGGUUGGGCUUCAAACCCAGGCACCUGGCCCUGGAGGCUGCGCACCCAGCUGCCCACACAGCCAUUGCUGCUGCCUCCCCAGCCCUUGCUGUGGGCCAGGCCCGUUCUCAGGGCUCCUGCACUCUCUUGUUUAUUCUUCCCAGCAGCCCUUGAAGAUAGGAACUAUUAUUAUCCAAGGAAACCAAGGUUGAGAGAGGUUAGGUAACUCGCCUGAGGUCACACAGCAGCAAGCGGAGCCGGGAUUCCAAGCCAGGCAUCCCACUUGGGUCCUAAUCUACCUGCUCUAAGCCUGUUCUCCCCUUUUGCAAGAGACAAGGAUGGUUUGUCAGUGGAAACAGUUCAAUCCAGCUUGUUCUUCUAUUACCUCCCCUUCAUCCUUCUAGUUCUUUCCUUCAGGAAGCUCCCUCUCAGGUGCAAGAGGAAUGCCUCAUGCAACUUCAGCAUAGAAAGGGCUUGGCCCUGGUUUCUCCAAGCCUGUGUUUCAUAGAACCUAAGACCCUGUGGCUAGAAGGGGCCUUCUGAGGUCACCAUGCUGGCUUCCGGGCUCCAGGCAAGACUGUUCCAGAAGAGGCUGCUGUCCUGAUGAUGGCUUUCUUCCUGACGGUUUCCAGGGAGGGAGGGAGGACCCCCAGGGAAGAUAAAAGGGCUGGCCAGACCCCUGCUCAGAGAGACCUGG